UCCCUGGUGGUCCAGUGGUUAGGACACAGUGCUCUCACUGCCAAGGGCCACGGUUUGAUUCCUGGUCAGGGAA
This 73-nucleotide transfer RNA is filed under the name Ovis aries (sheep). It matches the Rfam family "tRNA". From Rfam's summary of the family: Transfer RNA (tRNA) molecules are approximately 80 nucleotides in length. Their secondary structure includes four short double-helical elements and three loops (D, anti-codon, and T loops). The record is from Rfam by way of RNAcentral. Lineage: Eukaryota; Metazoa; Chordata; Mammalia; Artiodactyla; Bovidae.